UAUUUUUGAUUUUUUGACAUU
Molecule: non-coding RNA, 21 nt
Filed under: Caenorhabditis elegans
Lineage: Eukaryota; Metazoa; Nematoda; Chromadorea; Rhabditida; Rhabditidae
Source: RNAcentral